RNAcentral lists this transfer RNA (70 nucleotides) under Jenynsia lineata (onesided livebearer). RNAcentral describes it as "tRNA-Ile". It matches the Rfam family "tRNA". From Rfam's summary of the family: Transfer RNA (tRNA) molecules are approximately 80 nucleotides in length. Lineage: Eukaryota; Metazoa; Chordata; Actinopteri; Cyprinodontiformes; Anablepidae. The record is from RNAcentral. RNAcentral also lists the same sequence under 1 other name.
GGUGCCGUGCCUGAAGCUAAGGAUCACUUUGAUAGAGUGCACUAUGAGGGUUAAAGUCCCUCCGGCCCCU